This 524-nucleotide ribosomal RNA is filed under the name uncultured bacterium. Its description in RNAcentral is "bacterial SSU rRNA". It matches the Rfam family "Bacterial small subunit ribosomal RNA", at positions 15 to 518 of the family's 1533-position model. The record is from RNAcentral.
GAUUCUGGCUCAGAACGAACGUUAGCGGCGCGCCUAACACAUGCAAGUCGCACGAGAAAGGGCUUCGGCCCCGGUAAAGUGGCGCACGGGUGAGUAACACGUGGGUAACCUCCCUUCGGCGGGGGAUAACAUUCCGAAAGGAGUGCUAAUACCGCAUAAGACCACGGCUUCGAAAGGAGCUGAGGUUAAAGCAGGCCUCUCAUGAAAGCUUGCACCGAGGGAUGGGCCCGCGGCCCAUCAGCUAGUUGGUAGGGUAAUGGCCUACCAAGGCGAAGACGGGUAGCUGGUCUGAGAGGAUGAUCAGCCACACUGGAACUGAGACACGGUCCAGACUCCUACGGGAGGCAGCAGUGGGGAAUCUUGCGCAAUGGACGAAAGUCUGACGCAGCGACGCCGCGUGGGUGAUGAAAAGGCCCUCGGGGUUGUAAAGCCCUGUGGGGCGGGACGAAUAAGUCGUGGCCAAUAUCCACGAUGAUGACGGUACCGCCUUAGCAAGCACCGGCUAACUCUGUGCCAGCAGCCGC